Long non-coding RNA from Papaver somniferum (opium poppy), 1595 nucleotides. RefSeq lists it as uncharacterized. The transcript has 8 exons. NCBI's taxonomy places the organism in Eukaryota, Viridiplantae, Streptophyta, Magnoliopsida, Ranunculales, Papaveraceae. The record is from RefSeq and is a predicted model, not a curated record.
GACGUGGUCUUACGUGGUUUUCUUUCCAUAUUCUACCUCACCCAGUUGUGUCUCUUAAUUCUUCCUUUUUUCUGAAAACAAACCCCAGAUCGUUCUCUUUCUAAUCUUUUCACUCAAACACAUGAUUCGACCUCAAGCUCUCAACGAUUUCUUCGACCUGUAACCAAUUUCGUCGAUCCGUAAACAUUUUCUUUUUUCAAUCUCAAUUUUGAACUAUUUUUUUCUCCUUCUUAAGUGGUAAUGAUAAUCUGGAAAACCCCUAAAUCGAAUAUUGAAUCUUGUUUUACUGCUGGUAAAUGGUAAUCUCAAAAACUUGUGACUGUAGUUGGUUUUUUGAGUCUGAUUUAGUAUUUGAAAACCCAGAUCUAGUUUUGUUUUGCUGAAGCUUUGAGUGGUGAAGAUCGAGCAUAUCUUGUAGGUACUCUUAAGGGUUUUGAUUUUAGUUGGGGUUUUGUUGUUGCUGCUUCAGGGUAAGCUAAUGCCAUUGUCACAAGGAGCAAAAUCUGAAUUUCUUGAUUCCCUUUCAAUAAACGUGUUGAAGCUACGCAAGAGAUUCAGUUAGGGAUUUGGUUUCAACUGAAUGUCCUUAAGUUGUUGAAGCUCAAUAAUGGAAAGUAUCUCCAAAAUCUUUAAUGUUGCACGUCGAUCAGCUCACUAGGAAUGUGAAUUAGGGAUAUCUGAAGGAGAUUUUUGCAAUGGGUGCUUCUCUGAGUGCCUAAGAAGGUCUUUUGAGAAACACCAUAGAUUUCUAUGUCCCAGUGUCGUGGAACUGUACAAUUUGUUGGUAGAAACCACUUUUUGCAUAACAUCGAGGAGGAAAUACUACAAGCUAACUCUUAACUAAGACGUGGAAGUGAUUAAAUCACCCUGUUGAAUAAAUGUGCUUCCAUUAAUCAAAUCUUGUCAUUAACUCAGCUAAAAAGUCAAGGCGGAAAAGACCACAUUCACCAUCACCGACAGAGGAAAAUGAAGCUGCAGAUAUUUCAUGUCCUCAAUGUGUGUUGGAGUUGAACAAUAUCUGAACUUUGAAUGGAAAGUAGUUGCAGUGAGGAAAAAGGAUGUUACAGAGUCGUCAUCAUCUUUGAACAAUCACUAAUUCAAAGAUAAGUUUUUGUUUCCCUUUGUUCAACCCUUUACAUAAUAUUUAUAUGAAAACCUAUGCAUUUGAGCUCGACAAGAACUGAUGUAAUGCAUUAUAAUGCAAACCAUGAUAUGUAGAAUGAACCUGAAGGGAUAUGAGAGCUAUAGCCGUUAUUGAAUAUUAACCACAAUUACAGCAGUCAAAACUUGCGCAAGACAAGCUAAAAAUAGUCAUGGUGAAUAGCUGCAAAGCUUUAAACUGGGUUUGUGCAUCUUGACUGUCGGAAGAAGAUUCUCCAUGAUAACUGAUAGCCGAACCUGGCUGCUGAGUUUAGCCAAUUUUUUAUCUUAAGCUCGUAAUUAUAUGAAUGUAGGUUAAGGUUUUCCAACUUACUGUUAGAAUUUUUUGGGACUUAGAACUUGCAGUAUUUUAGAUAGUUGAAAUUAUAAACUGAAUACACUUUAAGUACAAAUUGAGUUUUAAGGUUAUUAUCAAUUUAAUUUUGUUAAGUUCA